RNAcentral lists this ribosomal RNA (701 nucleotides) under Aeromicrobium sp. Its description in RNAcentral is "bacterial SSU rRNA". It matches the Rfam family "Bacterial small subunit ribosomal RNA", at positions 55 to 773 of the family's 1533-position model. The record is from RNAcentral. Lineage: Bacteria; Bacillati; Actinomycetota; Actinomycetes; Propionibacteriales; Nocardioidaceae.
AUGCAAGUCGAGCGGUAAGGCCCUUCGGGGUACACGAGCGGCGAACGGGUGAGUAACACGUGAGCAAUCUGCCCUUCUCUUUGGAAUAACCAUUGGAAACGAUGGCUAAUGCCGAAUAUGACCUCCUUUCGCAUGUUUGGAGGUGGAAAGCUCCGGCGGAGAUGGAUGAGCUCGCGGCCUAUCAGCUUGUUGGUGAGGUAAUGGCUCACCAAGGCAUUGACGGGUAGCCGGCCUGAGAGGGUGACCGGCCACACUGGGACUGAGACACGGCCCAGACUCCUACGGGAGGCAGCAGUGGGGAAUAUUGGACAAUGGGCGAAAGCCUGAUCCAGCAACGCCGCGUGAGGGAUGACGGCCUUCGGGUUGUAAACCUCUUUCAGCAGGGACGAAGCGAGAGUGACGGUACCUGCAGAAGAAGGACCGGCCAACUACGUGCCAGCAGCCGCGGUAAUACGUAGGGUCCGAGCGUUGUCCGGAAUUAUUGGGCGUAAAGGGCUCGUAGGCGGUUUGUCGCGUCGGGAGUGAAAACUCAGGGCUCAACCCUGAGCGUGCUUCCGAUACGGGCAGACUAGAGGUAUGCAGGGGAGAACGGAAUUCCUGGUGUAGCGGUGGAAUGCGCAGAUAUCAGGAGGAACACCGGUGGCGAAGGCGGUUCUCUGGGCAUUACCUGACGCUGAGGAGCGAAAGCGUGGGGAGCGAAC